GAUGAACGCUGGCGGCGUGCCUAAUACAUGCAAGUCGAGCGAACAGAUGAGGAUCUUGCUCCUCUUACGUUAGCGGCGGACGGGUGAGUAACACGUGUAUAACCUACCUAUAAGACUGGGAUAACUUCGGGAAACCUGAUCUAAUACCGGAUAAUAUAUUGAACCGCAUGGUUCAUUAGUGAAAUACGGUUUUGCUGUCACUUAUAGAUGGUUCCUCGCCGCAUUAGCUAGUUGGUAAGGUAACGGCUUACCAAGGCAACGAUGCGUAGCCGACCUGAGAGGGUGAUCGGCCAGACUGGAACGGAGACACGGUCCAGACGACUACGGGAGGCAGCAGUAGGGAAUAUUCCGCAAUGGGCGAAAGCAUGACGGAGCAACGCCGCGUGAGUGAAGAAGGUCUUCGGAUCGUAAAACUCUGUUAUUAGGGAAGAAAAAAAGUGAAAGAAAAUAUGCACGUAUUGACGGUACCAAAUAAGAAAGCAACGGCUAACUACGUG
This 497-nucleotide ribosomal RNA is filed under the name uncultured bacterium. RNAcentral describes it as "partial 16S ribosomal RNA". It matches the Rfam family "Bacterial small subunit ribosomal RNA", at positions 28 to 507 of the family's 1533-position model. The record is from RNAcentral.